Long non-coding RNA from Felis catus (domestic cat), 1875 nucleotides. RefSeq lists it as uncharacterized. The transcript is spliced from 2 exons. The record is from RefSeq and is a predicted model, not a curated record. NCBI's taxonomy places the organism in Eukaryota, Metazoa, Chordata, Mammalia, Carnivora, Felidae.
CGUGAGGGUGGUACAUGGUGGGGGGUUCAGAAGGUGACAUGAGGGUUCAGUGUGCCUUCCUCUGAGGGAGGAGGCAGGCAAAGGAUAGGAGGAGACCACUUGGUUGCCUGAAUUCUGCAGUGGAUGGUACCUACACAGCUGACCUUUGGUUCUUUCUUAGAGCCACAACUAUAGUCAGCUUGGCUGUCAGACCUUGGCUGUCAGUUGCAACCUUAGCAAAAAGCCUCCCUCCUGACUCACCUUCAGAUCUAGAUCCCGUUGGGCUUUUUUUAGAAGUAUGACCUCUAGGUCCCUUGGCUCCGUUGAUACAAAGAUCGUUCCACAGUGACAAAGAACCCGACAUUCAGCUUCUUACCACGACAAAGAUUUACUUUCCUCCCAUUCCAUGUCCAUGUGAGGCCUGCUGGAUCUUGCUCACCGUAGGCAUUCCGGAUUCAUCUGGAUUCAUCCUUCCCGGUAUAGGGAGGAAAGUAGCAGAUGUCCUAUUGAUUCUGAAAGUUUCUGGUCAGAAGUGACAUAAUUUCUGCUAAUAGUUCAUUGGCUAAUGGUAUCUUCAUUCAUUCAUUCUGUGUUCAACAGCUAUGCCUGGUGUGGACUAGACCCUAGACCCCGUGCCAGGUUGAACUUCACUGGCUUCAAGAUCAAGAAUACUAUACAUUGUGGAAUUCUGGACUCUUGUCUUUCAACCAUCUGGAGACGAGCCUAGACUUUUGCCUCAUAAGCCUCCAGGAAGUUUCUGGAGCAGAAGAGUCUGCUCUGAAAUAUGGCACUCUGUUUCUUCUCCAAGCAAACCUUCCCAGAGGGCUUUCCCAGUGUAUUUGAGGCUAGACCCUUUAGGAACCCACUGUGGGGCCAAUCAUAUGCCUUCCUCCCACCCCGUCCCGUUCUUUCCUUUGGUAAACGAAUUAUCAUCUGAUGUUGAUAUUUUGUAAAAGCCUGAAUUCCAGUACAUUCACUCCAGGCUUUCAGGAAGCCCGAGACACCCAUGUCUGUUGGGUGGGAUAAGGGAGAUUUCAGGUAAACCCUGGUAUCUGUCUUCCACAACACAGAAUAAUAGGCAGUGUCACACAGAGAUAUAUACUGCAGUGGUCUCGAGGACACAGCAUCAGGGUCGUGGUUAUCUGUGUCAAACAAAAACCACAGGUCAUCAAUCUGGGUUUGCAGGGAGGAGAAGAAUGUGGCACACUGGGGAAUUUAUUAUGACAAAAAUGACACGUCCCGUCCUGCCUCUCCCAGUUUGCCUCAGUGUGAGGUCAGGAGACAUACAAGUCUCUAAACCACCUCCAGCUCCUCCUUGAUAUGCCAAGGAAGUGAGUUACUUUCCCACUUGCUGCUGCUUAAAGGGCAGAGCAGAUGAGGAAAACCCUGUUAGAAGUGAUGUGUCCAUUUAAAUAAGCCAGUGACACCGAGUGAUCAUUAUAAAAGGAUUUAUGCGACAUCAGAAUGCAUUGGCUUUCAUGAUGGGGAUUUGUUAUUUUAAGACUAGGAAUUGUACCACACAUCAGUGGAUGAGUCAUGAAGCAUUUAGAUUCUCGUGGAAAUUGAGGACUCUGCUGGGAGGGAGCCCGCUGCCCUAAAUCCUAACGGAAAGCAGGCCUCCAAAAGGGGUAUCUCCAACAAAGCCCCACCUUGAGACUUCUGCUUUGUCUUGGCAAACUCUGGCAGAUCCAUGUUGGAAUCGUGAUUCAGCCACUAAGUGCCCAUGUAGGCUUGGCCAAGUUAGUUCAUCUCCCUGAAACUUAAUUAAUUCUUUCCCCUGUAAAAUAGGAUCAUAGUACCUAGUAUGGGGGGAUUAACAAGGUAACUAGUUCAAAAGCCUAGCCCGGUGUCUCGCACAAAACAAGUGCUCAGUAAAUCUUAGUUUGUGCUCCCUUG